UCGAUUCCCUUAGUAGCGGCGAGCGAAACGGGAAGAGCCCAAACCAACAAGCUUGCUUGUUGGGGUUGUAGGACACUCUAUACGGAGUUACAAAGGACGACAUUAGACGAAUCAUCUGGAAAGAUGAAUCAAAGAAGGUAAUAAUCCUGUAGUCGAAAAUGUUGUCUCUCUUGAGUGGAUCCUGAGUACGACGGAGCACGUGAAAUUCCGUCGGAAUCUGGGAGGACCAUCUCCUAAGGCUAAAUACUCUCUAGUGACCGAUAGUGAACCAGUACCGUGAGGGAAAGGUGAAAAGCACCCCGGAAGGGGAGUGAAAUAGAACCUGAAACCGUGUGCUUACAAGUAGUCAGAGCCCGUUAAUGGGUGAUGGCGUGCCUUUUGUAGAAUGAACCGGCGAGUUACGAUUUGAUGCAAGGUUAAGCAGUAAAUGUGGAGCCGUAGCGAAAGCGAGUCUGAAUAGGGCGUUUAGUAUUUGGUCGUAGACCCGAAACCAGGUGAUCUACCCUUGGUCAGGUUGAAGUUCAGGUAACACUGAAUGGAGGACCGAACCGACUUACGUUGAAAAGUGAGCGGAUGAACUGAGGGUAGCGGAGAAAUUCCAAUCGAACCUGGAGAUAGCUGGUUCUCUCCGAAAUAGCUUUAGGGCUAGCCUCAAGUGAUGAUUAUUGGAGGUAGAGCACUGUUUGGACGAGGGGCCCCUCUCGGGUUACCGAAUUCAGACAAACUCCGAAUGCCAAUUAAUUUAACUUGGGAGUCAGAACAUGGGUGAUAAGGUCCGUGUUCGAAAGGGAAACAGCCCAGACCACCAGCUAAGGUCCCAAAAUAUAUGUUAAGUGGAAAAG
Molecule: ribosomal RNA, 842 nt
Filed under: Staphylococcus aureus
Lineage: Bacteria; Bacillati; Bacillota; Bacilli; Caryophanales; Staphylococcaceae
Also listed under: 1 other name
Description: partial 23S ribosomal RNA
Rfam family: Bacterial large subunit ribosomal RNA
Source: RNAcentral